CAUUUCCAAAUUCACAAGUGCUCUUGGCUGGCUUUUCAUGAAUGAUGCAAUUUCUAGUUGAGGUAUGCUGGUCUUUUUACAGCUGGCGCAUUCCUAUCAGAGCCUUUUCCAGGAGUUGUACUGAUGAUCUAUAAAAGCUGGGUAAGAACUACAUUUUAAAAAACUGCAGUCAGUGAAAGGCAUAAAUGAUAUCCCUGUACUAUAAUGAAGGGUAAAUACAGUAAAAUUUAACUUGUGAAACAAGUUAGUUUGGCAGUGCAGGUUGUGAUAAACAGAGACAGGCUUAAAAUGCUUAAAUAAAGGAACACUUUUAAUUAUAUAGGAAAAUUUUUAUUUCAUAAAUAUAACUUCAUAAACUUUAAAAAAUUAUGGAGAGCUGUACAAUAAUAUGCUACAUUUACUGACAAUGCAGAGAAUUUUUGAAGGAUUACAUUAGACAGCCACAGUGUCUCAGGUCCAAAAUUUUAAACUAAGUAAGUAUUGCUACAAUAUUUCCAGAUACUCAUUCCUCAUAAAAAUCUAAAUUACCAUUAUUACAAACAUAUUAGUUAUGAUCUAUUUUUUAUAGGAACAACAUUCGAGUUAUUUCACAUAAAACAGCACUUCAGUAAUGUUUUAUGAAAAUAGAUAACUCAUUUCAAGAUGAUAGAAAUAAAAUGUCUAUAAGUGGGGACCAAAAUUAAUAAAACAUGUUUGACAUAA
RNAcentral lists this non-coding RNA (702 nucleotides) under Pongo abelii (Sumatran orangutan). The record is from RNAcentral. Lineage: Eukaryota; Metazoa; Chordata; Mammalia; Primates; Hominidae.